CGGCGCUGCGCCAACCGCAAGGAGGCAGGCGACCACGGUAGGGUCAGCGACUGGGGUGAAGUCGUAACAAGGUAGCCGUAGGGGAACCUGCGGCUGGAUCACCUCCUUUCUAAGG
RNAcentral lists this ribosomal RNA (115 nucleotides) under Methylobacterium terricola. Its description in RNAcentral is "Methylobacterium sp. 17Sr1-39 partial 16S ribosomal RNA". It matches the Rfam family "Bacterial small subunit ribosomal RNA", at positions 1425 to 1533 of the family's 1533-position model. Lineage: Bacteria; Pseudomonadati; Pseudomonadota; Alphaproteobacteria; Hyphomicrobiales; Methylobacteriaceae. The record is from RNAcentral.